This 497-nucleotide ribosomal RNA is filed under the name uncultured bacterium. RNAcentral's name for it is "partial 16S ribosomal RNA". It matches the Rfam family "Bacterial small subunit ribosomal RNA", at positions 28 to 507 of the family's 1533-position model. The record is from RNAcentral.
GACGAACGCUGGCGGCGUGCCUAAUACAUGCAAGUUGAGCGCUGAAGGUUGGUACUUGUACCAACUGGAUGAGCAGCGAACGGGUGAGUAACGCGUGGGGAAUCUGCCUUUGAGCGGGGGACAACAUUUGGAAACGAAUGCUAAUACCGCAUAAAAACUUUAAUCACAAGUUUUAAGUUUGAAAGAUGCAAUUGCAUCACUCAAAGAUGAUCCCGCGUUGUAUUAGCUAGUUGGUGAGGUAAAGGCUCACCAAGGCGAUGAUACAUAGCCGACCUGAGAGGGUGAUCGGCCACAUUGGGACUGAGACACGGCCCAAACUCCUACGGGAGGCAGCAGUAGGGAAUCUUCGGCAAUGGACGAAAGUCUGACCGAGCAACGCCGCGUGAGUGAAGAAGGUUUUCGGAUCGUAAAACUCUGUUGGUAGAGAAGAACGUUGGUGAGAGUGGAAAGCUCAUCAAGUGACGGUAACUACCCAGAAAGGGACGGCUAACUACGUG